This 465-nucleotide ribosomal RNA is filed under the name Vreelandella stevensii. RNAcentral describes it as "partial 16S ribosomal RNA". It matches the Rfam family "Bacterial small subunit ribosomal RNA", at positions 338 to 795 of the family's 1533-position model. Lineage: Bacteria; Pseudomonadati; Pseudomonadota; Gammaproteobacteria; Oceanospirillales; Halomonadaceae. The record is from RNAcentral.
CCUACGGGUGGCUGCAGUGGGGAAUAUUGGACAAUGGGGGCAACCCUGAUCCAGCCAUGCCGCGUGUGUGAAGAAGGCCCUCGGGUUGUAAAGCACUUUCAGUGAGGAAGAACGCCUGGUGGUUAAUACCCAUCAGGAAAGACAUCACUCACAGAAGAAGCACCGGCUAACUCCGUGCCAGCAGCCGCGGUAAUACGGAGGGUGCGAGCGUUAAUCGGAAUUACUGGGCGUAAAGCGCGCGUAGGUGGCUUGAUAAGCCGGUUGUGAAAGCCCCGGGCUCAACCUGGGAACGGCAUCCGGAACUGUCAAGCUAGAGUGCAGGAGAGGAAGGUAGAAUUCCCGGUGUAGCGGUGAAAUGCGUAGAGAUCGGGAGGAAUACCAGUGGCGAAGGCGGCCUUCUGGACUGACACUGACACUGAGGUGCGAAAGCAUGGGUAGCAAACAGGAUUAGAUACCCCUGUAGUC